Molecule: long non-coding RNA, 843 nt
Filed under: Androctonus crassicauda
Lineage: Eukaryota; Metazoa; Arthropoda; Arachnida; Scorpiones; Buthidae
Source: RNAcentral
ACUUAAUGUACAGCAACUUAGCAUAAUAGUAUUAUGCUAAGUUGCUGUUAGAAUCAGUUUGAGUUUUUUGCAAAUAAACUUGAGUUUAUCCUUAAAAGUAUUUUUAAAUUGGUCUCUUAAGAGACAUUUUAAAUUGAUAUAUAUUAUUUACCGAGCUACAGAAAAUUAUUCCAUGGCUUGUGCCAAAAUAGAAAUUGCAAAAUGGUGCUUCUCUCUCUCUCUGUUUAUUAUAGUGAAUUACCCUUUAUUUUUUAGAAAUUAUAAUAAUUAUGACAACAGUCGUGGGCCUACUAUAUUUCAUGCCUAUAAGAUAUCAAACCAACAGGAGAAAGUAGUCCUAUCUAAUGUAGAGACAAUGUCCCUAUUUGCCACUCAUUGAUAUCUUCAUGUCUAAAGAGCAACAAAUUGUGCACUCACUAUGAAUAUUCAAUGUGGUUAUAUAGUGAAAUCUGCUAAAACGACCAUCUUCAUAACAUGACUCCCUGAACUAACGACCACUUUUUAGAUGGAACAUCCCGUUUCAUAUAUAUAAAACAUGGUUUUCGACUUCUUUAAAAUGACCCUCUCUUAACACGACCGCGACCGGCAAUAAAAUCAUAUUUAAAAAAAAAACCUGUUAGAAAUGACCAGUACCAAAGGAUAUUUUGUUUUUUAAAUUUUUGAACAAACUCUAGCUGCUCCGAUGCAAAUAUCUCAACGUUACAUGAGGUCGAAUUCCCUAUUGGUUAAAAGUGGCGCAUAGCUGAAAUGGAUGAGUCAAAACACGAAAGGGAAAAUCGGUAGAAAGAAGCAUGGGAAUGAUUUGAUUUUGUUUUUGUUUUGUUCUACUGCACAAAACUGUCA